AGGACGAACGCUGGCGGCGUGCUUAACACAUGCAAGUCGAGCGAGGCCCUUCCUCCGGGAAGGUGCCCUAGCGGCGAACGGGUGAGUAACACGUGGGCAACCUGCCCCUAGCACUGGGAUAACUCCGGGAAACCGGGGCUAAUACCGGAUAUGACCUCCGAGGGCAUCCUUGGUGGUGUAAAGGAUUCUGGCUAGGGAUGGGCCCGCGGCCUAUCAGCUUGUUGGUGGGGUAAUGGCCUACCAAGGCGACGACGGGUAGCCGGCCUGAGAGGGCGACCGGCCACACUGGGACUGAGACACGGCCCAGACUCCUACGGGAGGCAGCAGUGGGGAAUAUUGCACAAUGGGCGAAAGCCUGAUGCAGCGACGCCGCGUGAGGGAUGACGGCCUUCGGGUUGUAAACCUCUUUCAGCGGGACGAAGCGAAAGUGACGGUACCUGCAGAAGAAGCACCGGCCAACUACGUGCCAGCAGCCGC
Molecule: ribosomal RNA, 477 nt
Filed under: uncultured bacterium
Lineage: Bacteria
Description: SSU rRNA
Rfam family: Bacterial small subunit ribosomal RNA
Source: RNAcentral